CUCCCGGGCCUCCGGAUCCUGGCUGGGAGCCAUCUCUGCCUCCUGCCGCUUCCUGCACUCCUGAUCAGGUCAGUGGCCAGUCACAGACCUCUGAAAUGUCCUUCCUGACUGUUAGCUCCACAGCAUUCCUACAGCUCCCGCCGCAGUUCCGCCCUCCGGAGGGUUCCAACAGCAGCCCAGUGCGCCUCCCCAGCCCCAGGCUCCCUCCACUCCAGUGAGCCUGCACCUGGCGCUCCCUGGCACACAUAUUUUCCAUUGCUCUUCACUGCCAAUUAAAUGCAAAUUUCUCAUCGUGGGGUUCCAAGUUCUCUGUAUUUGGUCCUCUUAUCCUGACAGCUCUACCCUCCCCAGAGCACUACAAUCUGGCCAAGAGCCUCACCAGCCUAUUCCCCCGAACCAUUGUUUUAUUUAUUUUAGAUUCAGGGGUAUUUGUAUGCAGGUUUGUUACAUAAGUAUAUUGCGUUAUGAUAAGGUUUGUGCUUCUGAUGAUGAUCCAGUCGCCCAACAUAGUACCGGAUAGUUAGGUUUUCUUCCAUUGCCCCCCUCUCCCUCCUUCCUUUUGGGGUCCCUGGUGUCUGUUAUUCCCAUGUUUAUGUCCUUAUGUACCCAGUGUUUAGAUCCCACUUAUAAGUGAGAGCAUGUGGCAUUUGGUUUUCUGUUUCUGCAUUAGUUUGCUUAGAAUAACGACUGCCAGCUGCAUCCAUGUUGCUGCAAAGGACAUGAUUUCCUUGUUUUUUAUGACUGCACAGUAUUCCAUGGCCAAAAAAAUGUGGUAUAAAAAUAUGUACCACAUUUUUUUAAUCCAGUCCACAGUCGAUGGGCACCUGGGUUGAUCACAUGUCUUCACUAUUGUGAACAGUGCUGCAAUGAACAUACGUGUGCAGGUGUCUUUUUGGUAGGACUAUUUAUAUUCCUUUGGGUAUAUACCUAGUAAUGGGAUUGCUUGGUCUAAUAUUCAUUCUAUUUUAGAUCUUUAAGAAAUCUGCAAACUGCUUUCCACAGGGGCUGCAUUAAUUUGCAUUCUCACCAAAGUGUGCAGGCAUGGAGUUAACCCUCUGAAAACACAGGAUGCCAGUCUAAAGAGUGAAGAGAAAAUGUGGUUGGAAGAUGUGUUCUUCUACCUUUACAUCAUAAAUUUCAGAACAGUGCAUUUCAUGACCAGAAGAUGAAUUACUGUUCACAUUUUUCUGCAUGCUCUGGAUAAGAUUUGCAAUUGUGAUCAUUGCCAAUGGAAGCACAGUAACAGCUUUCAGAGGGUCAGUGGAAGCCAGUAUGGAAGAUAUACGCUGGACAAGGCAGCCUCUUGAGUGAUGAUGUAACUACCAUUAAACACAUGGUAUCAGGGAACUACAGAGGUAUGAUCUGUGUUGCUUCAAUACAAAAAAGUGAAGAAGAGCCACGGCACUGCCAGUAAUAAUGACGUUCCAUGAGAGAUAUACAAGUAGCCAGAACUUUUGCCACUAAGAAGAAACUUCACACUGAAAGGACAAUAGAUAAAUAUGUAAAUGCAUCUUGUCUACCUAUCACUCUAAAUCAAUUGAUCAGUGUAUACAUCACCAUGCCUCAUGAAUUUUGUCAUAAAUUUUUAAUCAAAUUGUUUAUGCAGAGGAUUCACGAAAAUGAGAGAGAUAAUCUGCCCUGGAUUAAUCAAUGACAUUUACCAAGCUCUAAUAAGAACAAGAAUUGUGCUAGAUACCAUGGAUACAAUAAAGAACAAUGCACAAAUGGACUAAAUGUAACUCACUGUCUAAACUGGUAGCAAUGCAUAUAGACAGACGCAGGGUGUCCUGAGCAGGGACAUAGGAAGGGGUGAUGGAAUGAACACCCAGCGAUGGUUCCGUACUGAUGUUCCCAGUUGAAGUCAUCAAAAAGGUGACCACUCCACAGGAACUCCAUUUGAGGGCCUUGUUCAAUGGGACUUUUCAGCCAUCCUCCCAAUCCAAGUAUUUUCUUCACCUAUUAAACUUGUCUUUGAUUAGCUCUCCAUUGGUCAGAGAUUCUGUGAGAUACCUAUGAAAAGAUGGAAGUGACACUUACAUAUGCCUAUCCCAACAGCCUAGCUGGAAAUCACCAAAAUGAGGCAAGAGAACAGGGUUUUUAGUGAACCUUUUUCCUGUGUGCCUGUUCUAGUUGAAGAAUCUGGGUUUAAUAGACCUAGAAUUCUUUAUAAAAGAAUUCUUGCCAGGCCAGGCGUGGUGGCUUACGCCUGUAAUCCCAGCACUUCAGGAGGCCAAGGCAGGUGUAUCAUGAGGUCAAGAGUUUGAGACUAGCCUGACCAACAUGAUGAAACCCCGUCUCUGCUAAAAAUACAAAAAUUAGCUGGACGUGGAGGCACAUGCUUGUAAUCCCAGCUACUCAGGAGGCUGAGGCAGGAGAAUCAUUUGAACCUGGGAGGCGGAGGUUGCAGUGGGCCGAGAUCGCACCAUUGCACUCCAGCCUGGGCGACAGAGUGAGACUUUGUCUGAAAAAAAUAAAAUAAAAAAAUAAAGAAUUCUUGCAACCACACCUCACAGAUCACAGUUCCAGAACUGCUGCAGAAGAAGGUCUUUCUGAAGAAGGUACAAAGGGGAAAGAUAAAGGUGCUGGGUUUUAUCUCUGGUCCUGGUCAGAAUCAACUCAGUCUUUACCAACAGGGAUUGUCCCAUCUGUCAUCCUUGGUUACACAAGCCCCAUCAGGCAGAAUGGGGGAAGGACUGAGCUCUGGGCCUGGUGAGCACCACUGAGCGCCCCACUGCUACUUCAGGAAUCGCCUAUCAGGCUGGUGGGUGGGGUAGGAGUGAAAAUAAUCAGCACCAGUUUUGGAGUCCAGUCUAGAAGUGGCAUUUGACCAGACCCCCCCAUAGCUCUUGAGGGUCUUUUCUGAGGACCUUUACUGCAGUCUAUGCAAAAAACCCACUCAUAGUCCUCAGUAACUUCCAGUCCUCCAAAGCCAUACAGUGUGGUCAUUUUACUCAUCCUCUAGGCUUUCUUUAGUUAUUCAUGCAAAGAUAGGCCUGGCCUUGGGUGUCUGUAGCGAGGCCACAAGGCCUUGGAUCAGAACAGCAACGUCAGGGAAAACAAAAUCCAAGGGGCUGCCCAGUCCAAGGGCAAACUGGGAGUCUAGUCCCCAUCUUGUAACCACGAUCUCUACCUUGCGAUGCUGCAGGGGCACCUCUUCUGCCUUUCACCUAGGCUCCUGGCAAAGGCCUUGCAAAGCAUUAUUCAGGGCACUGUGUGAGGCCAGAGAAGGAACUGAGGAAGACCACACCCAUACACAGAGAUGAAGAGUGUGGAGUGACAGGAAGGCGGGGCUUGAGCUGGUGGCAAAACGGGAAAAGUUCCCUUAUCCCCGUGGCAGGGCUUGCGAUGGAGGUGUGGCUGGCUUCUUCUGUGCCCCGCUGCUCAAACCUGUAGGGGGAGCAUGCAGAUGGGCAGGUGGUGGGGCUCCAACCCCACAGCAAUGUCUAAGGGUGAAUGUUUACAGCUCCUGAGGUCCCAAUGGGCCUGUGUUACAGGAUGCUGUUUCAGUUGAGCCAUCCCUAGUCAGCUGUUAGACCUCCUGCCUUAUUCCAAGGACAGAGGCUUUCUGUAUCCUGAGGUUUCUUGCCUCCGUGCACCAAAAGAAUCAGAUCACACAUGGGCUUGGAGAAUGAGUGCAAGGUUUUAUUGAGUGGAAGUAGCUCUCAGAUGGGGGAGCCAGAAGGGAGACGGAGUGGGGAGGUGGUUUUCCCCUCUGAAGUCGGACCGCUCCGUGGCCAGGCUGUCCUCCAGCUGCACUGAGUGGUUCUGCCUGUCGAUGGCCUGCCAGCCUGCCGUGGGCCACUAUCAGUCUGCUCUUACACCGGUGUGUUCCUCUUGACGUCCAGAGGCUUGUGUGCGUGCCUGCUAAGCUCUCAGGUUUUUUUACAGGCACAGAAUGAGGGUGUGGUAGGCCAGGGUAGUCUUGGGAAAUCCAACAUUUAAGCACGAAAACAGAAAUGCCUGUCCUCA
RNAcentral lists this long non-coding RNA (3969 nucleotides) under Homo sapiens (human). RNAcentral's name for it is "non-protein coding lnc-LY86-4:9". Lineage: Eukaryota; Metazoa; Chordata; Mammalia; Primates; Hominidae. The record is from RNAcentral.